This 152-nucleotide ribosomal RNA is filed under the name Stagonosporopsis sp. Its description in RNAcentral is "5.8S ribosomal RNA". It matches the Rfam family "5.8S ribosomal RNA". Rfam says of the family: 5.8S ribosomal RNA (5.8S rRNA) is a component of the large subunit of the eukaryotic ribosome. Lineage: Eukaryota; Fungi; Ascomycota; Dothideomycetes; Pleosporales; Didymellaceae. The record is from RNAcentral.
GGAUCUCUUGGUUCUGGCAUCGAUGAAGAACGCAGCGAAAUGCGAUAAGUAGUGUGAAUUGCAGAAUUCAGUGAAUCAUCGAAUCUUUGAACGCACAUUGCGCCCCUUGGUAUUCCAUGGGGCAUGCCUGUUCGAGCGUCAUUUGUACCUUC